This is a long non-coding RNA of Canis lupus familiaris (dog), 497 nucleotides long. RefSeq lists it as uncharacterized. The record is from RefSeq and is a predicted model, not a curated record. The transcript is spliced from 4 exons. Lineage: Eukaryota; Metazoa; Chordata; Mammalia; Carnivora; Canidae.
GGGACCCCGGGGCCGAGCGCGCCGCCGGGACCCCCGAGUCUGCGCCGGAGCCUGCCAGAAAAAUCAGUUUUCUUCUGUGGGGGGUGAACAUCCAUAGCAUCGAUCUCACGGAUCUGGUAACAUGGCCAAAGAUAAUUCAUGGCUUUCUGUGUGGAAUGGCAUUGGAAAAACUCUGGGAUGGGAUUAUAAGCAGAAAGCUACAGCUCCAUCAGAAGUGUUGCUGUGGAGCAUCUUGCUGUAAAACAGUGUGAUCCUGAGGACUCUCUGCGGUCCAGGCUUAGGACAGUGGCUGGUGUUUUUGUAACUUCCUGAGUCUUGUGACAGUGCAACAUAAGUAUAGCCCAUCAGGCCUGUUCAGCCUGGGGCAAGAUCUUCCUUCCUCUGUCUGGAAGUGUUAAUGAAAGAUGAGUGGAUAAAGAAGAUGUGGUCUAUGUAUACGAUGGAAUAUUCCUCAGCCAUUAGAAACGACAAAUACCCACCAUUUGCUUCGACGUGGA